GCAGUUCCGGCGAGGGGGGAGCCUCAGCAGGAUUGCUGUGUGAAAACCGAGC
RNAcentral lists this small RNA (52 nucleotides) under Pan troglodytes (chimpanzee). RNAcentral describes it as "processed transcript". The record is from RNAcentral. Lineage: Eukaryota; Metazoa; Chordata; Mammalia; Primates; Hominidae.